UACGGAGGAUGCGAGCGUUAUCCGGAUUUAUUGGGUUUAAAGGGUGCGUAGUCGGCUUUUUAAGUCAGCGGUGAAAUUUUGCAGCUUAACUGUAACAGUGCCGUUGAUACUGGGGAGCUAGGAUUUGGUUGCUGUGGGUGGAAUGUGUGGUGUAGCGGUGAAAUGCUUAGAGAUCACACAGAAUAUCGAUUGCGAAGGCAGCUCACAAAGCCAAGAUUGACGCUGAGGCACGAAAGUGUGGGGAUCAAACAGGAUUA
Molecule: ribosomal RNA, 257 nt
Filed under: uncultured prokaryote
Description: partial 16S ribosomal RNA
Rfam family: Bacterial small subunit ribosomal RNA
Source: RNAcentral